Non-coding RNA from Paramuricea clavata, 104 nucleotides. Lineage: Eukaryota; Metazoa; Cnidaria; Anthozoa; Malacalcyonacea; Plexauridae. The record is from the annotation of a GenBank genome assembly.
UGAAAUACAUAUCAAAGUCAUCUUCAGACAGAAUGAAAUACAAUACAGUGUUGUAAAGUAUUGUAUUUCAUUCUGUCUGAAGAUGACUUUGAAAUAAAGUCGAA